Molecule: ribosomal RNA, 748 nt
Filed under: Glomeromycotina sp. OTU31 DJMC-2012
Lineage: Eukaryota; Fungi; Glomeromycota
Description: eukaryotic LSU rRNA
Rfam family: Eukaryotic large subunit ribosomal RNA
Source: RNAcentral
AAAGAAACUAACAAGGAUUCCCCUAGUAACGGCGAGUGAAGAGGGAAGAGCUCAAAUUUUAAAUCUGCCUUGUUCCAAGGUCGAGUUGUAAUUUGAAGAAGCGUUUUCUUGGGCUCGCGGCCGGUAGAAGUUCUUUGGAACAGGACAUCAUAGAGGGUGACAAUCCCGUCCGUGACCGGUCGUGCGUUCAUCUACGAUACGCUUUCAAAGAGUCGAGUUGUUUGGGAUUGCAGCUCCAAACGGGUGGUAAACAUCACCUAAGGCUAAAUAUUGGCGAGAGACCGAUAGCGAACAAGUACCGUGAGGGAAAGAUGAAAAGAACUUUGAAAAGAGAGUUAAACAGUACGUGAAAUUGUUGAAAGGGAAACGAUUGAAGUCAGUCGUGCUGGCGCGAAAUCAACCCUCUCGUCUUGAGAUCACAUGGCGCGACGAGCCUCAAAACCGUCACGAAGCGUGAACUCUUGACGAAAAGGUGCACUUUCGUGUCCGCUGGUUAACAUCAAUUUCGAACGUCAUAAAAAGGCUGGAGGGAUGUGGCUCCUUCGGGAGUGUUAUAACCUUUAGCGGAAUGUGGCGUUCGGGAUUGAGGAUUGCAACGAAUACCUUCAGGGCUGUUCCACCUGGCUUCUCAUUGGUAUCCUGGUGACGACAGCUUGCUGACGUCGUUAGGAUCAGCUUCUGAACAGGCUAGAGUGUGAGCAAAUUCGUUAAGGAUGUUAACGUAAUGGCUUUAAACGACCCGUCUUGA